RNAcentral lists this ribosomal RNA (253 nucleotides) under uncultured bacterium. Its description in RNAcentral is "partial 16S ribosomal RNA". It matches the Rfam family "Bacterial small subunit ribosomal RNA", at positions 524 to 776 of the family's 1533-position model. The record is from RNAcentral.
UACAGAGGUCCCAAGCGUUGUUCGGGUUCACUGGGCGUAAAGGGUGCGUAGGUGGUCGGGUAAGUCUGAUGUGAAAUCUCCGAGCUUAACUCGGAAAUGGCAUUGGAUACUAUUCGGCUAGAGGGUUUGAGGGGGGACUGGAAUACUUGGUGUAGCAGUGAAAUGCGUAGAUAUCAAGUGGAACACCAGUGGCGAAGGCGAGUCCCUGGAAAACUCCUGACACUGAGGCACGAAAGCUAGGGGAGCAAACAGG